RNAcentral lists this ribosomal RNA (461 nucleotides) under uncultured bacterium. Its description in RNAcentral is "partial 16S ribosomal RNA". It matches the Rfam family "Bacterial small subunit ribosomal RNA", at positions 338 to 795 of the family's 1533-position model. The record is from RNAcentral.
CCUACGGGUGUGCAGCAGUGAGGAAUAUUGGUCAAUGGGCGCGAGUCUGAACCAGCCAAGUAGCGUGAAGGAUGACUGCCCUACGGGUUGUAAACUUCUUUUAUAAAGGAAUAAAGUGAAGCACGUGUUCCUUUUUGUAUGUACUUUAUUAAUAAGGAUCGGCUAACUCCGUGCCAGCAGCCGCGGUAAGACGGAGGUUCCGAGCGUUAUGCGGAUUUAUUUGUUUUAAAGGGAGCGUAGAUGGGUUGUUAAUUCAGUUGGGAAAGUUUGCGGCUCAACCGUAAAAUUGCAAUUGAUACUGGCAGUCUUGAGUACAGUUGAGGUAGGCGGAAUGCGUGGUGUAGCGGUGAAAUGCUUAGAUAUAACGAAGAACUCCGAUUGCGAAGGCAGCUUACUAAACUGCCACUGACAUUGAUGCUCGAAAGUGUGGGUAUCAAACAGGAUUAGAUACCCGAGUAGUC